AUCGAACGCUGGCGGCAGGCCUAACACAUGCAAGUCGAACGAGUGGCGGACGGGUGAGUAAUGACUGGGAAACUGCCUGAUGGAGGGGGAUAAGUACCGGAAACGGUAGCCAAAAACGCAUAGCAUCGGAUGUGUCCAGAUGGGAUUAGCUAGUAGGUGGGGUAAAGGCCCACCUGGGCGACGAUCCGUAGCUGGUCUGAGAGGAAGCCCCGCCACACUGGAACUAAGACACGGUCCAGACUCCUACGGGAGGCAGCAGUGGGGAAUAUUGCACAAUUGGCGCGAGCCUGAUGCAGCCAUGCCGCGUGUAUGAAGAAGGCCUUCGGGUUGUAAAGUACUUUCAGCGGGGAGGCGUUACCCGCAGAAGAAGCACCGGCUAACUCCGUGCCAGCAGCCGCGGUAAUUC
Molecule: ribosomal RNA, 406 nt
Filed under: uncultured bacterium
Lineage: Bacteria
Description: partial 16S ribosomal RNA
Rfam family: Bacterial small subunit ribosomal RNA
Source: RNAcentral